CACCACUCAAGCCUCGCUUGGUAUUGGGCGCCGCGGUGUUCCGCGCGCCUCAAAGUCUCCGGCUGAGCUGUCCGUCUCUAAGCGUUGUGAUUUCAUUAAUCGCUUCGGAGCGCGGGCGGUCGCGGCCGUUAAAUCUUUUACAAGGUUGACCUCGGAUCAGGUAGGGAUACCCGCUGAACUUAAGCAUAUCAAUAAGCGGAGGA
RNAcentral lists this ribosomal RNA (203 nucleotides) under Cercospora sesami. RNAcentral describes it as "partial 26S ribosomal RNA". The stretch from base 147 to 203 matches the Rfam family "Eukaryotic large subunit ribosomal RNA", at positions 1 to 57 of the family's 3401-position model. The record is from RNAcentral. Lineage: Eukaryota; Fungi; Ascomycota; Dothideomycetes; Mycosphaerellales; Mycosphaerellaceae.